GACGGAGGAUGCAAGCGUUAUCCGGAAUGAUUGGGCGUAAAGCGUCCGCAGGUGGCAGUUCAAGUCUGCUGUCAAAGACCGGGGCUUAACUUCGGAAAGGCAGUGGAAACUGAUUAGCUAGAGUGUGGUAGGGGCAGAGGGAAUUCCCAGUGUAGCGGUGAAAUGCGUAGAGAUUGGGAAGAACAUCGGUGGCGAAGGCGCUCUGCUGGACCAUAACUGACACUCACAGGACGAAAGCUAGGGGAGCGAAUGGG
Molecule: ribosomal RNA, 254 nt
Filed under: uncultured bacterium
Lineage: Bacteria
Description: partial 16S ribosomal RNA
Rfam family: Bacterial small subunit ribosomal RNA
Source: RNAcentral